This 516-nucleotide ribosomal RNA is filed under the name Amphioctopus fangsiao. RNAcentral describes it as "partial 16S rRNA". It matches the Rfam family "Bacterial large subunit ribosomal RNA", at positions 1814 to 2605 of the family's 2925-position model. Lineage: Eukaryota; Metazoa; Mollusca; Cephalopoda; Octopoda; Octopodidae. The record is from RNAcentral.
CAUGUCUCUUUGAUUUAUUUUAAUAAAGAGUUGGGCCUGCUCGGUGAUUAAUAUUUAACAGCUGCGGUAUUAUAACUGUACUAAGGUAGCAUAAUAAUUUGCCUUAUAAAUUGGGGCUAGAAUGAAUGGUUUGACGAAAAUUAUACUGUCUCUGUCUUAUUUAUUAGAAGUUAAUUUUUAUAGUGAGAAAGCUUGGAUGAUUUAAAGGGACGAAAAGACCCUAUUGAGCUUUAUAUUAUACUUUAAAACUAUUUAUUGUUUUUAUUUAAAUAUAAUUUUGGUUGGGGUGAUCAAGGAAUAAAUAAUUAAUAUUAACUUCCUUAAUUUUAUUAUAGUUAUAUAAAUAAACCAAAUUUUUUGCUUAGAAGAUAAGUUACCAUAGGGAUAACAGCGUAAUUUUUUUUGAAAGUUCAUAUUGAAAAAAGAGAUUGCGACCUCGAUGUUGGAUUAAAAUAACCUUAAGGUGAAGAGGCUUUAAUUGGUGAAUCUGUUCGAUUUUUAAAAUUUUACGUGAUC